GAAACUAACAAGGAUUCCCCUAGUAACGGCGAGUGAAGAGGGAAGAGCCCAAGAUUGAAAGCUGGCACCUUCGGUGUCCGCAUUGUAAUCUCAAGAAACAUUUUCCGCUUCGGACCAAGCCUAAGUCUCUUGGAAAAGAGCAUCGUAGAGGGUGAGAAUCCCGUACAUGGCUUGGAGCGCCCGAGGCUUUGUGAUAUGUUUUCUAAGAGUCGAGUUGUUUGGGAAUGCAGCUCAAAAUGGGUGGUAAAUGCCAUCUAAGGCUAAAUAUUGGGGAGAGACCGAUAGCGAACAAGUACCGUGAGGGAAAGAUGAAAAGAACUUUGAAAAGAGAGUUAAACAGUACGUGAAAUUGCCAAAAGGGAAGGGUAGGAGGUCAGAGAUGCGGCUUGGGAUUCAGCCUUGCUUUUGCAUGGUGUUUUUCCCAUUUUGCAGGCCAACGUCGGUUUUGGGCACUGGAGAAGGGUAGGAGGAACGUGGCACUCUUCGGGGUGUGUUAUAGCCUCCUACUGGAUACAGCGACCGAGACCGAGGAACGCAGCGUACUCGAAAGAGCGGGCCUUCGGGCACCUUUACGCU
This 576-nucleotide ribosomal RNA is filed under the name Schizonella cocconii. RNAcentral describes it as "partial large subunit ribosomal RNA". It matches the Rfam family "Eukaryotic large subunit ribosomal RNA", at positions 61 to 615 of the family's 3401-position model. Lineage: Eukaryota; Fungi; Basidiomycota; Ustilaginomycetes; Ustilaginales; Ustilaginaceae. The record is from RNAcentral.